UAGAAUGGAACUGCUGUGUGACCAGAAAC
Molecule: non-coding RNA, 29 nt
Filed under: Homo sapiens (human)
Lineage: Eukaryota; Metazoa; Chordata; Mammalia; Primates; Hominidae
Source: RNAcentral